GGGCGCGUAGCUCAAAUGGUUAGAGCGCAGGACCGAUAAUCCUGAGGUUGUAGGUUCAAGACCUACCGUACCC
This 73-nucleotide transfer RNA is filed under the name Pseudomuriella schumacherensis. RNAcentral's name for it is "tRNA-Ile". It matches the Rfam family "tRNA". From Rfam's summary of the family: Transfer RNA (tRNA) molecules are approximately 80 nucleotides in length. Lineage: Eukaryota; Viridiplantae; Chlorophyta; Chlorophyceae; Sphaeropleales; Pseudomuriellaceae. The record is from RNAcentral.